Molecule: microRNA, 31 nt
Organism: Vombatus ursinus (common wombat)
Lineage: Eukaryota; Metazoa; Chordata; Mammalia; Diprotodontia; Vombatidae
Source: Ensembl
CUGUAUGGAAGACUAGUGAUUUUGUUGUUCU